Molecule: ribosomal RNA, 466 nt
Filed under: uncultured bacterium
Lineage: Bacteria
Description: bacterial SSU rRNA
Rfam family: Bacterial small subunit ribosomal RNA
Source: RNAcentral
AGAGUUUGAUCAUGGCUCAGAUUGAACGCUGGCGGCAUGCUUAAUACAUGCAAGUCGAACGGUAACAGAUUCUUCGGAAUGCUGACGAGUGGCGGACGGGUGAGUAAUACAUAGGAAUCUGCCCAUGUAGUGGGGGACAACUUGGGGAAACUCAAGCUAAUACCGCAUAAUUCCUACGGGAUAAAGAGGGCCACUGCUUGCAAGCUCUUGCUACUGGAUGAGCCUAUGUCGGAUUAGUUAGUUGGUAAGGUAAUGGCUUACCAAGACAGCGAUCCGUAGCUGGUUUGAGAGGAUGAUCAGCCACACUGGGACUGAGACACGGCCCAGACUCCUACGGGAGGCAGCAGUAGGGAGUAUUGGACAAUAGGCGCAAGCCUGAUCCAGCAAUGCCGCGUGUGUGAAGAAGGCCUGCGGGUUGUAAAGCACUUUCAAUUGGGAAGAAAGAUUAUGAGUUAAUACCUUAUAA